This 253-nucleotide ribosomal RNA is filed under the name uncultured bacterium. RNAcentral's name for it is "partial 16S ribosomal RNA". It matches the Rfam family "Bacterial small subunit ribosomal RNA", at positions 524 to 776 of the family's 1533-position model. The record is from RNAcentral.
UACGGAGGGGACUAGCGUUGUUCGGAAUUACUGGGCGUAAAGCGCACGUAGGCGGAUUUGUAAGUCAGGGGUGAAAUCCCGGGGCUCAACCUCGGAACUGCCUUUGAUACUGCAAAUCUCGAGUCCGGAAGAGGUGAGUGGAAUUCCUAGUGUAGAGGUGAAAUUCGUAGAUAUUAGGAAGAACACCAGUGGCGAAGGCGGCUCACUGGCCCGAUACUGACGCUGAGGCACGAAAGCGUGGGGAGCAAACAGG